CGAAAGCCGCAUACUUCGGCCAGUCCUGACUUGCUCGCCGCUUCCAAACCUCUUAUUUUUAUAGUGGUUAUUACACUAAGCACAGUCAAGCCUAAGGCAGACCACCUCUCCAGCUCUGCACUGCGGUUACAGGGAAGGGGCACCUCCCAUGCCCCAGGCUUCCACUAAAAUGUUCCUGCCCUGCCACUGCCUUUGAGGGACCAAAUGGACUCCUAGGACCCCGGUCCAGACCUGACAUUGGGGUGACGACCCCCAUCAAGUGUGCUGGAGGCACUUAGGCCAGAACACGAACAGUAGCUGACCAGGGGAGGCAGGAGGCAGAAGGCGGAGUGUGACAUGGAAGGCCACGGGCAGCCACCAGAACCGCUUCUCCUCUGAGAAGACCAGUGUGGUCGACGGGAGGGGCCAGGACUCUCCUCUGUUGGCCGCUGACCCCAUGGAAGGCUGGACAGAGAGAAAUUCUGUGCCCGCCAAAGAGAAAGUCAGAGCCAACCAGACAGGCGAUGACUCCCUCCCUCAAGUCCCACCCACGAACUUCCCCGAAUUCCUCCAGUGUCCUUUGCCGGAAGCAUGAUGGCCUCACACACUUGGGAACUGGCCAUCAGACGUGCACGGCAAGGCUGAGCACAGAGCGCUUAGCCUUCAGGCGGUACGCCCAGCCCCCUCCCAAGUUCCGUGUGUCUACACUGACUGCAUGGCUCCCCUCCCUCUGCACACACAG
Long non-coding RNA from Neogale vison (American mink), 721 nucleotides. RefSeq lists it as uncharacterized. Lineage: Eukaryota; Metazoa; Chordata; Mammalia; Carnivora; Mustelidae. The transcript is spliced from 3 exons. The record is from RefSeq and is a predicted model, not a curated record.